GAGCAUGGCAGACCACCAUUUCCCUCUGAAGCUGUAGGGAUUGAUGGUGCCUUAAAAACAUGCAAGAGUAACAUUUUGGAGUUAACAGGGCCUCCGGUCUUUAAGAAAUGAUCGAUUGGUAGUAUCAGACUCCAACAGAG
Molecule: small nucleolar RNA, 140 nt
Organism: Phycodurus eques (leafy seadragon)
Lineage: Eukaryota; Metazoa; Chordata; Actinopteri; Syngnathiformes; Syngnathidae
Product: small nucleolar RNA U109
Exons: 1
Source: RefSeq, a predicted model, not a curated record